Molecule: long non-coding RNA, 691 nt
Organism: Bombyx mori (domestic silkworm)
Lineage: Eukaryota; Metazoa; Arthropoda; Insecta; Lepidoptera; Bombycidae
Exons: 2
Source: RefSeq, a predicted model, not a curated record
UUUGCGUGUUGUUAAAUAUUGAAAGAGGGGACGCGAUCAAAAAAAAAUUUGAGAGCCACUGUUUUUUAUUGCCUUUAGUCAAUGGAAAUUGAUAUUCGCUUCCUAAAUUAAGCCUAAAUACUUGUUAUACCAAUAGACAUAUACAUCUCUCAAAUAAUACAAAUCCAAUAAAACACAUUCAUUUAUUGUCAAGUUGGGCGAUUGAGCCUACGGCCCAUCUGACGUUAAGUGGUUACCGGAGCCCGUGGACAACGUCAGCGCGUUUAAGUUCCGAUUUCAUUAUAUGACAUUGGUUCGAUCGCUCCUUCGAUCAACAAUAGUAACUAGAUUUCGGGUCGGUGCAGAAAAUCCGUCUCGUCAAAUAACAGCUCACUUGAAAUGUGAGCUGUUAUUUUGUUUAGUUCACUUCAAACACAGCCAAUGUCAACCCGUCUCACAAUACCGCAAUGUGUAUUCAAAAGUUGCAAAAAUAAUGCCCGAAAAAGCAAUUUAACGGCCGGAGUAUAUUACUUUCGCUUUCCUAGCAAUCACGUGUGCAGAAUGGAUCUCGAUUGUCGCCAGAGAAACAAGAGAUGACUUUUAUAAGCCAGCUUCUUAGCUUGACACUGGACAUCUUUGCCUUCCGUGCUCACGGCUACUGAAACGUGGCCGCAACAUUGUAAUAAAAAUACCGCGCUUGAAACCGUUUAAA